CUUUCACAAAAAGAACCCGUAGAUUCAAUCCAAGAUGACCCCAUCUUGUCCUUUUUUUUUUUUAGUGAAACCCAAAACCUCGCUGCGAAAAUUUGUAGUAAGUCAACAACAACAAAAUCCAGCGACCCCAACCCUGUGUACUCCACUCCGCAAGAACUAGUGAUGAAGAAACCAAACGCGUCCUUAACACGCCUUCUUCCCAAGGUACGAUUUCCUUCAGCUCUUACUAUGAUUCCAACUGGCUUUUCUCUGCACCAACCGCACGAUUCCUUCCUUUUUGGCUUGAGAUUAAGCCACGUCAAAGCUCAAGGACGGUUGGAUUUAAUCUAGCCUUUCGCUCCCCUUUUCCUUCUAGGAAUGGAGUUAAAGACUCAAGAAAAGCUGUCAUUCCGUUUGGUGAAAGAUUUAGGGGCAUUUUGAAUUUUUAAAAUGGGCUUUGAACAAGAUUUUCACCCUUUUCGCUCCAUUUCCAAACCCUAAGUCCCUCACAUAUAUAUAUUCUUUUUCUAUCACAGUGAAAAAAAGGGGUAGAAAAUUUUGGACGGAAAUACAAAAAAAACAUUUCAAAUUUUUAGCUUAAUAUAGUCUAAUUUUAGUCCCAUGAGAAUAGCGUAGAACGAGUUUCAGUUCGAGUUUGAGAUCUUGCGCAAAUUCUUUAUUCGAUGCUCGAGUCGAAACGUUAGUGGUGGAAUCGUUGUUCGGAAGCACGCUGUCUCCAUUUUUCUGCCCAUAGAAUGGUUGAUUAUUACGCUUGUGUCUUGACUAGCAUUGCGGAUAUAAAUUGGAUAGUUUUUUUUUUAAUAUGCAUUUGCUGGCUGAACAUGUCGACUAAUUUUUGUUUUUUUGUAGCAUGUCUUUUGAUCAAUAAAGUGAUGGGUUUCAUUUAUAAGCUUCCCUGGUCUGAUGUCUUAAAUUUCUUCACUCGGGGUCAUUCGAAAUCUACCUCAUGCUCGUCUGCUAAAUAUGUUGUGGUCAUAAUAGUUUGAGUUUUCUUAUGAGUCAAGAAUAAACAACUUAUCUUGUACGAAUAAGUUUAGUUUUCAUAUUCACAAAGAUUUUUAGUUGUCUAGUUUGUUUAAAAAUUUGUAAUAUUUCUUAAAUUUUAAUCAUUACAUUUGCGAUUUAGGUUGAAAUCUAAGACAAACAUGCCCUUUUGGAUUGCAUUUCUCUCUUGCCUUUGAUUAUUCACUUCUAAUCCAAAUCUACCAGCUCUAUUAUCCUGAAUUAAUUAUGUUAACUUUGUUGCAAAUAGAUGCUAACCCUCUUACUUGUUUAUCACUUUGCAUGAAAUCUUUUCCAUUUGAGUGCAUCACAGACUCCAACUCCUCGCCUUGAUUUUUUAAUUGGACCUCGAAUCAAAAUCCCUUUCGCAGUCAGUCAGUCUACAAAUCGAUGAACAUAUCCCGAAA
Long non-coding RNA from Solanum pennellii, 1409 nucleotides. RefSeq lists it as uncharacterized. NCBI's taxonomy places the organism in Eukaryota, Viridiplantae, Streptophyta, Magnoliopsida, Solanales, Solanaceae. The record is from RefSeq and is a predicted model, not a curated record. The transcript is spliced from 2 exons.